GAUGAACGCUGGCGGCCUGCCUAAUACAUGCAAGUCGAGCGAACAGACGAGGAGCUUGCUCCUCUGAUGUUAGCGGCGGACGGGUGAGUAACACGUGGAUAACCUACCUAUAAGACUGGGAUAACUUCGGGAAACCGGAGCUAAUACCGGAUAACAUGUUGAACCGCAUGGUUCAACAGUGAAAGACGGUCUUGCUGUCACUUAUAGAUGGAUCCGCGCCGCAUUAGCUAGUUGGUAAGGUAACGGCUUACCAAGGCAACGAUGCGUAGCCGACCUGAGAGGGUGAUCGGCCACACUGGAACUGAGACACGGUCCAGACUCCUACGGGAGGCAGCAGUAGGGAAUCUUCCGCAAUGGGCGAAAGCCUGACGGAGCAACGCCGCGUGAGUGAAGAAGGUCUUCGGAUCGUAAAACUCUGUUAUUAGGGAAGAACAAAUGUGUAAGUAACUAUGCACGUCUUGACGGUACCUAAUCAGAAAGCCACGGCUAACUACGUG
This 497-nucleotide ribosomal RNA is filed under the name uncultured bacterium. Its description in RNAcentral is "partial 16S ribosomal RNA". It matches the Rfam family "Bacterial small subunit ribosomal RNA", at positions 28 to 507 of the family's 1533-position model. The record is from RNAcentral.